AACACGUGAGCAACUUGUCCUACGGUGGGGGAUAGCCGGCCCAACGGCCGGGUAAUACCGCGUAUUGCAUCGGCACCGCAUGAUGCUGAUGUGAAAGCGGCCGCAAGGUCGCGCCGGAGGAGGGGCUCGCGGCGUAUCAGCUUGUUGGUGGGGUAACGGCCUACCAAGGCUACGACGCGUAGCUGGUCUGAGAGGAUGAUCAGCCACAUUGGGACUGAGAUACGGCCCAGACUCCUACGGGAGGCAGCAGUGGGGAAUAUUGCGCAAUGGCCGCAAGGCUGACGCAGCGACGCCGUGUGUGGGAUGAAGGCCCUCGGGUUGUAAACCACUGUCAGGAGGGACGAAUACUCGGCUUCAAAUAGUUGACCGAGGGUGACGGUACCUCCAGAGGAAGCACCGGCUAACUCCGUGCCAGCAGCCGCGGUAAUACGGGGGGUGCAAGCGUUGUCCGGAUUCACUGGGCGUAAAGCGCGCGUAGGCGGUUCUGUAAGUCAUCUGUGAGAUCCCGGGGCUCAACUCCGGGGCUGCAGGUGAUACUGCAGAGCUAGAGCUCGGUAGAGGCAAGUGGAAUUCCCGGUGUAGCGGUGGAAUGCGUAGAUAUCGGGAAGAACACCAGUGGCGAAGGCGGCUUGCUGGGCCGAUGCUGACGCUGAGGCGCGAAAGCGUGGGGAGCAAACAGGAUUAGAUACCCUGGUAGUCCACGCCGUAAACGAUGGGUACUAGGCGUCGGGGGGAGCGACCCCUUCGGUGCCGUCGCUAACGCACUAAGUACCCCGCCUG
RNAcentral lists this ribosomal RNA (780 nucleotides) under uncultured Gemmatimonadota bacterium. RNAcentral's name for it is "bacterial SSU rRNA". It matches the Rfam family "Bacterial small subunit ribosomal RNA", at positions 112 to 875 of the family's 1533-position model. The record is from RNAcentral. Lineage: Bacteria; Pseudomonadati; Gemmatimonadota.